UCGGGUAUAGUUCAGCGGUAGAAUAUAUGCUUAGCCUGCACGAGGUCCUGGGUUCAAUCCCCAGUACCUCUG
RNAcentral lists this transfer RNA (72 nucleotides) under Camelus bactrianus (Bactrian camel). It matches the Rfam family "tRNA". Rfam says of the family: Transfer RNA (tRNA) molecules are approximately 80 nucleotides in length. Their secondary structure includes four short double-helical elements and three loops (D, anti-codon, and T loops). Further hydrogen bonds mediate the characteristic L-shaped molecular structure. tRNAs have two regions of fundamental functional importance: the anti-codon, which is responsible for specific mRNA codon recognition, and the 3' end, to which the tRNAs corresponding amino acid is attached (by aminoacyl-tRNA synthetases). tRNAs cope with the degeneracy of the genetic code in two manners: having more than one tRNA (with a specific anti-codon) for a particular amino acid; and 'wobble' base-pairing, i.e. permitting non-standard base-pairing at the 3rd anti-codon position. Lineage: Eukaryota; Metazoa; Chordata; Mammalia; Artiodactyla; Camelidae. The record is from Rfam by way of RNAcentral. RNAcentral also lists the same sequence under 2 other names.